GCAAAGUUUUUUUUCGAAAUUGAAUGCACGCCAUCCUAUCCAAUCUGGCAAGUUAAGCAACGUUGAGUCCAGUUAGUACUUGGAUCGGAGACGGCCUGGGAAUCCUGGAUGUGAGUAAGUU
Caenorhabditis brenneri is the source of this 121-nucleotide non-coding RNA. The record is from Rfam. Lineage: Eukaryota; Metazoa; Nematoda; Chromadorea; Rhabditida; Rhabditidae.